RNAcentral lists this long non-coding RNA (824 nucleotides) under Homo sapiens (human). RNAcentral describes it as "HSALNT0078686". The record is from RNAcentral. Lineage: Eukaryota; Metazoa; Chordata; Mammalia; Primates; Hominidae.
CGGAAGUCUCCACUUGCAAAAUGAGUACCUCUCUUUGAAGGACCAGGUGUAGUCAGACAAAACUGAAAACCUAACUUAGUAGUGUGCACCUGUAACAAUAGCUGAAUGUUGGCCAAUCCCAGCAGCCAUGUUUCAGCCACUCAUAGACUGCUGAAUGUGCAAACUGCAUUCAAAUAAGGCAAACACCGAGUUGUAACUGAUCUCACUGUUUCUGUUCCUCACUUCUGAUUCCUAUGGUGUCAGAAGCAGGAUCUGAAGUGGAGCUUCUAGCGAGCCCCACCAGGAGCGCUGAGUGAAAAUACAAGGCACCUGCAGGACUCACUUGCAUCCAUUGAUCUCUCAGAGUGCCUGGAGAUGGUAGAACCCAAAGAUUGGAUUUUCUGAGAACAUCAGAGAAGGACUGUCCUUGCCAUCCACGCUACAGCAAAACUUUGGAGCCUUGAACCUUGGGUUCAUAACCUCACAACUGAGAAGGGUCCCUCCACACUCCUGGAACUAUACACCCAUUGGAACCCUUAAGUGAUUCACAUGAAUCUGAGGUACAGAUGGACUUCAAACUUACGCAGAAUAAGCUAUGAAAAUUGUGUUCAUGGAAUAUUAGAAGGAUCCUUUAACACAGCAGUCCCCACACUUUUUGGCACCAGGAACUGGUUUCAUGGAAGACCAUUUUUCCACUGACCUGGGGGUGGGGGCGAUGGUUUAGGGAUGAUUCAAGUGUAUUACAUUUAUUGUGUACUUUAUUUCUAUUACAUUGUGAUAUAUAAUAAAAUAAUUAUACAACUCACCACAAUGUGGAAUCAGUGACAGCCCUGAGCUUGUUUUCC